GACACGUGGUAUCCUGUCUGAAUAUGGGGGGACCAUCCUCCAAGGCUAAAUACUCCUGACUGACCGAUAGUGAACCAGUACCGUGAGGGAAAGCGAAAAGAACCCCGGCGAGGGGAGUGAAAAAGAACCUGAAACCGUGUACGUACAAGCAGUGGGAGCACCUUCGGGUGUGACUGCGUACCUUUUGUAUAAUGGGUCAGCGACUUAUAUUCUGUAGCAAGGUUAACCGUAUAGGGGAGCCGCAGGGAAACCGAGUCUUAACUGGGCGUUAAGUUGCAGG
This 280-nucleotide ribosomal RNA is filed under the name Klebsiella pneumoniae. RNAcentral's name for it is "partial 23S ribosomal RNA". It matches the Rfam family "Bacterial large subunit ribosomal RNA", at positions 421 to 706 of the family's 2925-position model. Lineage: Bacteria; Pseudomonadati; Pseudomonadota; Gammaproteobacteria; Enterobacterales; Enterobacteriaceae. The record is from RNAcentral.